CAUGUCUCAGUACAAGCCACAUUAAGGUGAAACCGCGAAAGGCUCAUUAAAUCAGUUAUGGUUCCUUAGAUCGUACCCACAUUUACUUGGAUAACUGUGGUAAUUCUAGAGCUAAUACAUGCAAACAGAGUUCCGACCGGAGACGGGAGGAAUGCUUUUAUUAGAUCAAAACCAAUCGGCGGCGGGUGCGUUCGCGUGUCCGUUCGCCGCUCAACUUGGUGACUCUGAAUAACUUUCGGCUGAUCGCACGGUCUCGCACCGGCGACGCAUCUUUCAAAUGUCUGCCUUAUCAACUGUCGAUGGUAGGUUCUGCGCCUACCAUGGUCGUAACGGGUAACGGGGAAUCAGGGUUCGAUUCCGGAGAGGGAGCCUGAGAAACGGCUACCAC
Molecule: ribosomal RNA, 388 nt
Filed under: Capelatus prykei
Lineage: Eukaryota; Metazoa; Arthropoda; Insecta; Coleoptera; Dytiscidae
Description: SSU rRNA
Rfam family: Eukaryotic small subunit ribosomal RNA
Source: RNAcentral